This 625-nucleotide ribosomal RNA is filed under the name uncultured bacterium. RNAcentral's name for it is "bacterial SSU rRNA". It matches the Rfam family "Bacterial small subunit ribosomal RNA", at positions 54 to 726 of the family's 1533-position model. The record is from RNAcentral.
CAUGCAGUCGAGCGCACCCUUCGGGGCGAGCGGCGGACGGGUUAGUAACGCGUGGGAACAUACCCUUUUCUAUGGAAUAGCCUUUGGAAACGAAGAGUAAUACCAUAUACGCCCUUCGGGGGAAAGAUUUAUCGGAGAAGGAUUGGCCCGCGUAAGAUUAGAUAGUUGGUGGGGUAAUGGCCUACCAAGUCUACGAUCUUUAGCUGGUUUUAGAGGAUGAUCAGCAACACUGGGACUGAGACACGGCCCAGACUCCUACGGGAGGCAGCAGUGGGGAAUCUUAGACAAUGGGCGCAAGCCUGAUCUAGCCAUGCCGCGUGUGUGAUGAAGGCCUUAGGGUCGUAAAGCACUUUCGCCAGAGAUGAUAAUGACAGUAUCUGGUAAAGAAACCCCGGCUAACUCCGUGCCAGCAGCCGCGGUAAUACGGAGGGGGUUAGCGUUGUUCGGAAUUACUGGGCGUAAAGCGUACGUAGGCGGAUCAGAAAGUAGGGGGUGAAAUCCCGAGGCUCAACCUCGGAACUGCCUCCUAAACUCCUGGUCUUGAGUUCGAGAGAGGUGAGUGGAAUUCCAAGUGUAGAGGUGAAAUUCGUAGAUAUUUGGAGGAACACCAGUGGCGAAGGCGGCU